This is a long non-coding RNA of Meriones unguiculatus (Mongolian gerbil), 1788 nucleotides long. RefSeq lists it as uncharacterized. The record is from RefSeq and is a predicted model, not a curated record. Lineage: Eukaryota; Metazoa; Chordata; Mammalia; Rodentia; Muridae. The transcript is spliced from 2 exons.
CCGAGACUCAGAUGCCACUAGCUGGCGCUGACAUCUUGCCCUCAAAACUUAAACCUCCAGGGUGCACGCGCAGAUGCGUAUACACGCUAAAGAUUGCGUGAGCACGCUAAGGAUUGCGUGGGCACGCCGGUAAGAGUGAGCAGCCAACCAGGGUAUUGACACGUCACAAGGCCGCUAGCAUAAUGGUCCUAGUCAUCAGGCGGGGUAAAAGUAAGCAGCCAGUCAGGGUAUUCACACGUCACUCAGGUGCGACCCCGGCUUAUAUAAACAGCGCUACUCCGGGGCCCGUCCUCUCCUUCGAUCUCUUCCCCGUUUCCCCGCCCGGGGCCGCGGCCCUCGGGAAGCCGCCCGCGCCCACGAGGUGGCCGGGCGGCCUCUCUCUCCCCUCUUCAUCGCGUGACUAAUAAAGUUUACUGCGGAAGGAUUCCUGUGGUCGCGUGCGUUUCUGCCGGCGAAACAUUCACGCGGCGGCUCCCAACAUCUGGUGCUGAAACCCGGGAACAUUGCUGGGAAGAAAACAAUCCAUUCUGGGUACCGGAGCGCCUCACGCGAAAGCUCGUGACAGCUGAAGAUGAUCUUCCAACAGACACACCUGCUACUGCUGAAAGAAUCAAGGACAGCGAGGAGGACCACUAAUUCUACUCGAGUGGAUUCAUUGCCCACAGACUGGCUUUACCCUGGGUUUCUUCUGCCUUUUCUUACUUCAGAUUGGGUGGGGGUCGGAAUGUUUGGUGUAGCAUUGUGUCGUGGCUUAGUGUUUUUUACUCUGGUUGUUCUGCAAACUCUAUACCCAAAAAAAACGUGACUAGGUCGCAAUCGCGCAAGCACUAGCACCCUUGGAACAAGGAUCGUCUCCCAAAAAUUUGGUUAUCCAUGUUAAAAAAUUAAAACAGACUGUGACACUCAGUCGAUGCACCUCAGGGGUUUCACCCAUUGCACUGAGUCGAUGAGUGAUCCAGGUUAAUGUUGCCUUUGCCUAAACGGUUAUGGUACCUAGACAGGAGGGUGACAGCUCUUGCACUCCCUGGAAUUUUAUUCCAUUGCACGGGAAUGAGUGUCACCUCCUUUCUGAGAUGUGGUACCUAGACAGGAGGGUGACAGCUCUUGCACUCCCUGGAAUUUUAUUCCAUUGCACGGGAAUGAGUGUCACCUCCUUUUAAAAAUCUUCUCCCCUAGCCCCUGCACCCAGAGGACUUGUUUCCAUUGCACCUGGUGGGGUAAGGGAGUAAUCUAAAGCUUUUGAUCGCUUACUCCCCAAAGAAGGAGUUUGCUUGAUCGAGCUUAGGGCCCUCUUGUACCGUGCUUAUAGGCUUUUAGGCAGUUUUCAUUUAUUUAUUUAUAACAAAAAGGGAGAUGUGGGGAGCCGAGACUCAGAUGCCACUAGCUGGCGCUGACAUCUUGCCCUCAAAACUUAAACCUCCAGGGUGCACGCGCAGAUGCGUAUAAACGCUAAAGAUUGCGUGAGCACGCUAAGGAUUGCGUAGGCACGCCGGUAAGAGUGAGCAGCCAACCAGGGUAUUGACACGUCACAAGGCCGCUAGCAUAAUGGUCCUAGUCAUCAGGCGGGGUAAAAGUAAGCAGCCAGUCAGGGUAUUCACACGUCACUCAGGUGCGACCCCGGCUUAUAUAAACAGCGCUACUCCGGGGCCCGUCCUCUCCUUCGAUCUCUUCCCCGUUUCCCCGCCCGGGGCCGCGGCCCUCGGGAAGCCGCCCGCGCCCACGAGGUGGCCGGGCGGCCUCUCUCUCCCCUCUUCAUCGCGUGACUAAUAAAGUUUACUGCGGAAGGAU